This 465-nucleotide ribosomal RNA is filed under the name uncultured bacterium. RNAcentral's name for it is "bacterial SSU rRNA". It matches the Rfam family "Bacterial small subunit ribosomal RNA", at positions 330 to 792 of the family's 1533-position model. The record is from RNAcentral.
UCCAGACUCCUACGGGAGGCAGCAGUGAGGAAUAUUGGUCAAUGGGCGGAAGCCUGAACCAGCCAAGUCGCGUGAGGGACUAAGGCCCUACGGGUCGUAAACCUCUUUUGCCGGGGAUCAGUGCCCAGCUCGCGAGCUGGGAGGGAGCGUACCCGGAGAAAAAGCAUCGGCUAACUCCGUGCCAGCAGCCGCGGUAAUACGGAGGAUGCGAGCGUUAUCCGGAUUUAUUGGGUUUAAAGGGUGCGCAGGCGGCACGGCAAGCCGGGGGUCAAAUCGCGGGGCUCAACCCCGCCCAGCCGUCGGAACUGCCGGGCUAGAGUGGGCGAGAAGUGCGCGGAAUGCGUGGUGUAGCGGUGAAAUGCAUAGAUAUCACGCAGAACUCCGAUUGCGAAGGCAGCGCACCGGCGCCCUACUGACGCUCAGGCACGAAAGCGUGGGUAUCGAACAGGAUUAGAUACCCUUGUA